UAGGGAAUCUUCGGCAAUGGGUGGAACCCUGACCGAGCAACGCCGCGUGAGUGAAGAAGGUUUUCGGAUCGUAAAGCUCUGUUGUUAAGGAAGAACGAGUGUGAGAAUGGAAAGUUCAUACUGUGACGGUACUUAACCAGAAAGGGACGGCUAACUACGUGCCAGCAGCCGCGGUAAUACGUAGGUCCCGAGCGUUGUCCGGAUUUAUUGGGCGUAAAGCGAGCGCAGGCGGUUAGAUAAGUCUGAAGUUAAAGGCAGUGGCUCAACCAUUGUAGGCUUUGGAAACUGUUUAACUUGAGUGCAGAAGGGGAGAGUGGAAUUCCAUGUGUAGCGGUGAAAUGCGUAGGUAUAUGGAGGAAAACCGGUGGCGAAAGCGGCUCUCUGGUCUGUAACUGACGCUGAGGCUCGAAAGCGUGGGGAGCGAAGAGG
This 429-nucleotide ribosomal RNA is filed under the name Bacteroidota bacterium. RNAcentral describes it as "Bacteroidetes bacterium partial 16S ribosomal RNA". It matches the Rfam family "Bacterial small subunit ribosomal RNA", at positions 355 to 776 of the family's 1533-position model. Lineage: Bacteria; Pseudomonadati; Bacteroidota. The record is from RNAcentral.